GACGAAGUGAGUGACAACCACGUUUGAAUUCAUUUGAACAUUUGCGAUGAUACAGUCAAGUGCUAUGGCAAGCAAUGUUAAAAUCGAUUUUGAGAUUAGUUUAUGUUACAUUCUGUUAUUUUGUUAAAUUAACUUAAGAGUGUUCAAGUUUUCUGUAGUUAUUUAAAGUAUGCUUGACUUCUAUGUAAUUCACAUAGUUUCCUAUUAUGUCAACGCCAUGCUUCCUAUUUAACGUGAUAAUUCAGCUUUUGUAACUUCAUGAAACAACCUCUGGAGAUUUUCUCAGGUAGUGCAUCUACCUGUCUCAUGCUGUGAUAGGAAAAUUUAGAGGGUUUCCGAUGUGUGACGGAGUCGAUCGUUUUUCGUAUCACUAGUCAGCGGCGUGUCCCACAGGAUAUCUUUUUUGUUGGUGGGAUGUUGGACGACAGGUGCUUGCAGCUUGAUUUUCUGGAUUUCAUUCUGUGGAGGAUUAUGUGACCGAGUGGUGGCAAUCGUAUGUCUUUCAGGCUAUUGAGCUCAUUACUUCGGAUAUCUAAGGAUCAUUUGAUCUAACUUUGUAUUCUAUUGUCUCAAGUGAUGGUGUGCAGCUCUCGAUUCUACAAUGUAGAAGUUUUUGAGUUUUACUGUACCGUAUGAUGCCGUGCCGUCGGAGUAUUAGUAAGGGGCAGGUUGCGAUGUGGUGCGCUCUGCAGCUGAUGGCUUUGUUAAGGUGGAUAUUCUCAGGUGUGUGAAGGUCUUCCUGACGGAUUUCACAGUUCAGGUUCCAAUAAGAUGAGGUUGCUUUGGGGUUUCCUUGAUAUUUCUUUAUAAUGUGAAGGUUGUUAUUGGAUAUAUAGCCUGGCGGACUUCAGCAUUUCCAUUAGCCCAGGGUAUUGCUGCUGCAAAUAUUCUGACGGCCGUGCAUCUGCAGUGCAUGACUGAACUGCUACUGCCCAAUUGCAAGCGGUGUCAGAGAGCGGUAUCGUCUUUUUAAAGGCUAGGAAGAGGGCACACUAAUUAAAAUCUUGGUCUUCUGGUAUUCCCCUUAUCCUUAAUAAGUCGUACCUAUCUGCCGUGUCAUAGUGGGACGUUAACGUACAGUUUCAGGUCAAUACUUCGUAGCUUCAUCUGGCACUACCUUACAGCGUGACAAGCAUAUACGUGUGGAAUGUUUUCAGUUGUUCGGAGGCUGCUAUUCUUUCGUGGGACGUUGUCUGAGCCGCAAUCUAGUUCAUUCUUGGAUAUCCUAUCAUCGAUCUCUUGAAAUAAAAUUUGAAAAUCACA
Molecule: long non-coding RNA, 1263 nt
Filed under: Daphnia pulex (common water flea)
Lineage: Eukaryota; Metazoa; Arthropoda; Branchiopoda; Diplostraca; Daphniidae
Description: uncharacterized LOC124210463, transcript variant X3
Source: RNAcentral